RNAcentral lists this transfer RNA (49 nucleotides) under Elseya albagula (White-throated snapping turtle). Its description in RNAcentral is "partial tRNA-Glu". The record is from RNAcentral. Lineage: Eukaryota; Metazoa; Chordata; Testudines; Chelidae.
AUUCCUGUGGUUUUAUGUGUCUUCUGGUGGGGUAAUGAUUGAUUGUUCC